Limulus polyphemus (Atlantic horseshoe crab) is the source of this 285-nucleotide long non-coding RNA. RefSeq lists it as uncharacterized. The record is from RefSeq and is a predicted model, not a curated record. The transcript has 3 exons. NCBI's taxonomy places the organism in Eukaryota, Metazoa, Arthropoda, Merostomata, Xiphosura, Limulidae.
CGUAGAACGAGUACAUUUUUACAUUAAGUUUAAGUGUUGUUUACCGUUGGUGAACGAGCUCCCUUCUUUCGGCAACAUGUCUACCAGUAGCAGGGAAAGAAGAGUUGGAGUAGACAGAAUUUUAAGUAAAGUAAAAUUUAAUAUCGAGACUGGUCACUAUUAUGAAGCCCACCAGAUGUACAAAACACUAUACUUCAGAUAUCUUACACAGAAGAAGUACAAUGAGUUGUUAGACCUGCUCUAUGAUGGGUCUGAUAUCCUUUUGAAACAUCAUCAGGUAAUCGU